RNAcentral lists this long non-coding RNA (722 nucleotides) under Brassica napus (rape). RNAcentral describes it as "long non-coding RNA (BNAP_LNC008086)". The record is from RNAcentral. Lineage: Eukaryota; Viridiplantae; Streptophyta; Magnoliopsida; Brassicales; Brassicaceae.
UAGGAACUAAUUCUUUAGUUGUUGACCUAUAUGCAUAGAUAUUGAUCAAAGAUACCAUAUUGGUCCGACAUUUAUCUGUUUAUUUUACUCUCAAUAUGUAUCGAUGAGAAACAUUCAACUGCACUCAUACAAUGUGCAACUAGAGUCCCUUUCGUGAUUAGAAAAAUGUAAUUGGAGAGGUAGUAGAAAUAUUCAGAUAGUUAUCGUCGUAUCUGAAAUUGAAUAUUUGUAGAUCAUAUGAUAAUGCUAGAUCAUAUUUCUAUAAUUAAUAAGUACCGGCUAAUAUGCUAGAUCAUAUCUCCUGUCAUGUUUUGCUUGCUCGACUACACGGCAGAAAUCAGAAAAUGUCUUUGUAUGGCGUGAGCAAGCUGGUUUAUAUUUGAACAACCUUCUGAGUACUUUUCAAGUUUUCAUGAUAUUUCUCAUCCUGUGUGGUUGCUAACUGAAGACCAAAGCUUAUACUUACGGGGAAAGACUUAUGGAAGUGCGCAUGCAGAUAUGAUGGCCUUGUUCGUUUCGAAGUCGCUGCGAGUCUGCGACCUGCAACUGUGUGCGUUUGGUCAAGUUUAAAAGAAAAAGUGGAAGCCCAAUAUAUAAGCAUUUUUGGAUAAGGCAAUCUGGUCGAUCAGGUCGAACAUGAAUUGAAAUAGUUUCCUUUCGUUUAAGCAUAUAUAAAUUAAACUAAUAGUAUGUCAUGUACACGCACUAUUUAUAUAAGCGUC